Nymphaea colorata (pocket water lily) is the source of this 588-nucleotide long non-coding RNA. RefSeq lists it as uncharacterized. The record is from RefSeq and is a predicted model, not a curated record. NCBI's taxonomy places the organism in Eukaryota, Viridiplantae, Streptophyta, Magnoliopsida, Nymphaeales, Nymphaeaceae. The transcript is spliced from 2 exons.
CGAAAAGGCUUGUACCAGGAGGCCCCAACCCGCUUCACAACUGACAGAGCUGCCUAAUCAUUCAGUAGCUUAUGCAAAUCACAAGGACUGGGUAGUGAUUGUGGUGCCUUCCACAAAUUACACAUAAUCAACAUACAAAAAGCUGCGAGGAGCAUUUACAGGUCAUACUUAUGAGCAGGAGAGGAAUUAUUGUCAGAAAACAGAUCCAUGGCUAGCACACCUGGACAUCACAUUCAGUGGCACAUUAGUAGGCACAAGAAUUUGAGUGAUGGGCAUGGGAUCACCGUUGUCAUGUUGUAGCUCUUAACAACCACAAAUACCAUUUGGUUUGAAGAAGGAAUGGCAACUGAUCGUGUUUUUUUUUAAUGCUAUGUAUACCCCGUUCCUUACAUGUUUGUGAAUUUUCUCUAUGCUGCAUUCAACUUCAAGAGAAAAAAGAAAAUCAUCAUUUAUUUUAUUCAACCAAAAGAAAUUCCAACUCUUGAAAUUUACCGAAGGCAUGCCAAAGUCAAGCAGAUUUUCAAACAGAACCACCUUGCAAGCAGAUUUUCAGAUAACACCACCUUGAAAAGCAAAUUUUCAGGUAGU